RNAcentral lists this ribosomal RNA (513 nucleotides) under uncultured bacterium. RNAcentral's name for it is "bacterial SSU rRNA". The record is from RNAcentral.
UUGCCUUCAAUUUAAUUCCCGAUCUUUACGGCGCCUUUAGAACGGAAAAUGUUGGCAUACUGAUAAUAGGGAAAGAAACAAGAGGGAACUGCCCUUUCUACCCCAACAACUGGGGUAAACUUGUGGUAAUGCCCGCUGUGCCUUCACGGGACGAUUUCUCGUCUUGGGAAAGGCCCGCUCCUGAUUAUAAUCUACGGUGGGGGGAAGAGUCACCGUCCCAUUUAUCAGUUGCUGGGGUGAUGGGCCACCCAGGCAACGAUGGACUGCCGGCCUGACAGGAUCAUCCGGGAGGCGGGAUGGGAACACUUGCCCAAUUCCUUAAAGACGGACCAAUGCGUAAUAUUGGGAAAUGGAAGGACUCCUGAGUGUAAAAUUCCUUCUGAGGGAAGAAGAACUUCGGGUCCCAAACAACAAUCCCAAGGGAACAACCGGUCAGGUGCCACGCAAAUCAAUCUGACGGUACCUUCUAAGGAAGCACCGGCUAACUCCUUGCCAGCAGCCGCGGUUAAUUAU